RNAcentral lists this ribosomal RNA (1349 nucleotides) under metagenome. RNAcentral's name for it is "bacterial LSU rRNA". It matches the Rfam family "Bacterial large subunit ribosomal RNA", at positions 1564 to 2925 of the family's 2925-position model. The record is from RNAcentral.
UGAGUACGAGCUGCUACGGCAGCGAAGUGGGUGACGUCAUGCUUCCAAGAAAAGCCCUAUACCCGUUAAGGCAUGAUGGCCUGUACCCGAAACCGACACAGGUGGGGUGGUAGAGAAUACCGAGGGGCGCGAGGUAACUCUCUCUAAGGAACUCGGCAAAAUGGCCCCGUAACUUCGGGAGAAGGGGUGCCACCGCAAGGUGGUCGCAGUGAAGAGGCCCAGGCGACUGUUUACCAAAAACACAGGUCUCCGCUAAGUCGCAAGACGAUGUAUGGGGGCUGACGCCUGCCCAGUGCCGGAAGGUUAAGGAAGCUGGUCAGCGUAAGCGAAGCUAGCGACUGAAGCCCCGGUGAACGGCGGCCGUAACGAUAACGGUCCUAAGGUAGCGAAAUUCCUUGUCGGGUAAGUUCCGACCCGCACGAAAGGCGUAACGAUCUGGGCGCUGUCUCGGAGAGAGGCUCGGCGAAAUAGAAUUGUCUGUGAAGAUGCGGACUACGUGCACCCGGACAGAAAGACCCUAUGAAGCUUUACUGUAGCUUGGUAUUGUGCUCGGGCUCGGAAUGCGCAGGAUAGGUGGGAGGCUAUGAACCAUUGCUUGUGGGUGAUGGUGAGCCACUGGUGAGAUACCACUCUUUCCGAGCUAGAGUUCUAACAGCCACCCGUUAUCCGGGGGCUGGACAGUAUCAGGUGGGCAGUUUGACUGGGGCGGUCGCCUCCUAAAAGGUAACGGAGGCGCGCAAAGGUUUGCUCAGGCUGGUUGGAAAUCAGCCGACGAGUGUAAAAACAGAAGCAAGCUUGACUGUGAGACCUACAAGUCGAACAGGGAGGAAACUCGGCUUUAGUGAUCCGACGGUUCUGCGUGGAAGGGCCGUCGCUCAACGGAUAAAAGUUACUCUAGGAUAACAGGCUGAUCUUCCCCAAGAGUUCACAUCGACGGGGAGGUUUGGCACCUCGAUGUCGGCUCAUCGCAACCUGGGGCUGAAGUCGGUCCCAAGGGUUGGGCUGUUCGCCCAUUAAAGCGGUACGCGAGCUGGGUUCAGAACGUCGUGAGACAGUUCGGUCCAUAUCCGGUGCAUGCGCAGGAAUAUUGAGAGGAUUUCUCCCUAGUACGAGAGGACCGGGAGGAACGCACCUCUGGUGUACCAGUUAUCGUGCCAACGGUAAACGCUGGGUAGCCAUGUGCGGAGAGGAUAACCGCUGAAAGCAUCUAAGUGGGAAGCCCACCUCAAGAUGAGUAUUCCCAUGGGGUAACCCAGUAAGGUCACGGGAAGAACACCCGUUGAUAGGCUCUACGUGGAAGCGCAGUAAUGUGUGAAGCGGAGGAGUACUAAUAGACCGAGGGCUUGACC